This 450-nucleotide ribosomal RNA is filed under the name uncultured bacterium. RNAcentral's name for it is "partial 16S ribosomal RNA". It matches the Rfam family "Bacterial small subunit ribosomal RNA", at positions 354 to 796 of the family's 1533-position model. The record is from RNAcentral.
GUGGGGAAUAUUGGACAAUGGGCGAAAGCCUGAUCCAGCCAUGCCGCGUGUGUGAAGAAGGUCUUCGGAUUGUAAAGCACUUUAAGUUGGGAGGAAGGGCAGUAAGUUAAUACCUUGCUGUUUUGACGUUACCGACAGAAUAAGCACCGGCUAACUUCGUGCCAGCAGCCGCGGUAAUACGAAUGGUGCAAGCGUUAAUCGGAAUUACUGGGCGUAAAGCGCGCGUAGGUUGUUUUGUAAGUUGGAGGUGAAAUCCCCGGGCUCAACCUGGGAACUGCCUCCAAAACUGCAUGACUAGAGUACGGUAGAGGGUAGUGGAAUUUCCUGUGUAGCGGUGAAAUGCGUAGAUAUAGGAAGGAACACCAGUGGCGAAGGCGACUACCUGGACUGAUACUGACACUGAGGUGCGAAAGCGUGGGGAGCAAACAGGAUUAGAUACCCGGGUAGUCC